CCUUGAUAUUCUGACCAACUCAUACCUCCAUAUGCAGAUGUGCUCCGCUUAUGUAAUUAACUAAAUUUGUUAGUAACUCUAAGUCUCAGAUAUUUCAGGUACUGAUCUUGGACCUGCCUUACUGCUGCAACUGCGACACCUGCUGGCCAAUCAAGCAUAUUACACCUACAACAAUUUCCUGAAAAUUAUAACAGAGGUAUGAAGUCCACUUGAGGAAGAGAAGGACUGGAUGUGAGCUUGGCCACAAGCCAUCAUCAGAAAUAGAGUCUUCAGGUACUUCUAGAAGAUACGCUGAUAAGAAGACUAAUGUAAAAGUGUUCAUCAUUUACAAUGCAUGUCAUUUCUGGUUCAAACGCUUAGCUUCAGAUAUCCAAGGCCCAAAGAAGAAAAGAUGUGGGCCUG
This is a long non-coding RNA of Arvicola amphibius (Eurasian water vole), 402 nucleotides long. RefSeq lists it as uncharacterized. Lineage: Eukaryota; Metazoa; Chordata; Mammalia; Rodentia; Cricetidae. The record is from RefSeq and is a predicted model, not a curated record. The transcript has 3 exons.